RNAcentral lists this ribosomal RNA (433 nucleotides) under uncultured bacterium. RNAcentral's name for it is "partial 16S ribosomal RNA". It matches the Rfam family "Bacterial small subunit ribosomal RNA", at positions 29 to 507 of the family's 1533-position model. The record is from RNAcentral.
AACGAACGCUGGCGGCAUGCCUAACACAUGCAAGUCGAACGAGACCUUCGGGUCUAGUGGCGCACGGGUGCGUAACGCGUGGGAACCUGCCCUUAGGUUCGGAAUAACUCCCCGAAAGGGGUGCUAAUACCGGAUAAUGUCUUCGGACCAAAGAUUUAUCGCCUUUGGAUGGGCCCGCGUUGGAUUAGCUAGUUGGUAGGGUAAAAGCCUACCAAGGCGACGAUCCAUAGCUGGUCUGAGAGGAUGAUCAGCCACACUGGGACUGAGACACGGCCCAGACUCCUACGGGAAGCAGCAGUGGGGAAUAUUGGACAAUGGGCGAAAGCCUGAUCCAGCAAUGCCGCGUGAGUGAUGAAGGCCUUAGGGUUGUAAAGCUCUUUUACCCGGGGUGAUAAUGACAGUACCGGGAGAAUAAGCUCCGGCUAACUCCGUG